AGUGAACGCUGGCGGUAGGCCUAACACAUGCAAGUCGAACGGCAGCACAGUAAGAGCUUGCUCUUACGGGUGGCGAGUGGCGGACGGGUGAGGAAUACAUCGGAAUCUACUUUUUCGUGGGGGAUAACGUAGGGAAACUUACGCUAAUACCGCAUACGACCUACGGGUGAAAGCAGGGGAUCUUCGGACCUUGCGCGAUUGAAUGAGCCGAUGUCGGAUUAGCUAGUUGGCGGGGUAAAGGCCCACCAAGGCGACGAUCCGUAGCUGGUCUGAGAGGAUGAUCAGCCACACUGGAACUGAGACACGGUCCAGACUCCUACGGGAGGCAGCAGUGGGGAAUAUUGGACAAUGGGCGCAAGCCUGAUCCAGCCAUACCGCGUGGGUGAAGAAGGCCCUCGGGUUGUAAGGCCCUUUUGUUGGGAAAGAAAAGCAGCAGGUUAAUACCCCGCUGUUCUGACGGUACCCAAAGAAUAAGCACCGGCUAACUUCGUG
Molecule: ribosomal RNA, 492 nt
Filed under: uncultured bacterium
Lineage: Bacteria
Description: partial 16S ribosomal RNA
Rfam family: Bacterial small subunit ribosomal RNA
Source: RNAcentral